This 253-nucleotide ribosomal RNA is filed under the name uncultured bacterium. RNAcentral describes it as "partial 16S ribosomal RNA". It matches the Rfam family "Bacterial small subunit ribosomal RNA", at positions 524 to 776 of the family's 1533-position model. The record is from RNAcentral.
UACGGAGGGGGCUAGCGUUGUUCGGAAUUACUGGGCGUAAAGCGCACGUAGGCGGCUUUGUAAGUUAGAGGUGAAAGCCCGAAGCUCAACUUCGGAAUUGCCUUUAAGACUGCAUCGCUAGAAUCGUGGAGAGGUAAGUGGAAUUCCGAGUGUAGAGGUGAAAUUCGUAGAUAUUCGGAAGAACACCAGUGGCGAAGGCGACUUACUGGACACGUAUUGACGCUGAGGUGCGAAAGCGUGGGGAGCAAACAGG